CCUACGGGAGGCUGCAGUAAGGAAUAUUGGUCAAUGGAGGAAACUCUGACCCAGCCAUCCCGCGUGAAGGAUGAAGGGGCUCUGCCUUGUAAACUUCUUUUGUCUGGGGCGAAAAAGCUCGAUUUAUCGAGAACUGACGGUACCAGAAGAAUAAGCACCGGCUAACUCCGUGCCAGCAGCCGCGGUAAUACGGAGGGUGCAAGAGUUAUCCGGAAUCACUGGGUCGAAGGGGUGCGUGGACGUCUGUGGAGAAAGGCUGUGGCUUAACCAUGGAAGUGCCAUUGAGACUGCAGAGCUUGAAUGAGGUUGAGGUUGGCGGAAUGUGACAUGUAGCGGUGAAAUGCUUAGAUAUGUCAUGGAACACCGAUUGCGAAGGCAGCUGACUGGACCGAGAUUGACGCUGAGGCACGAAAGCGUGGGGAGCGAACAGGAUUAGAUACCCCUGUAGUC
RNAcentral lists this ribosomal RNA (450 nucleotides) under uncultured bacterium. RNAcentral's name for it is "partial 16S ribosomal RNA". It matches the Rfam family "Bacterial small subunit ribosomal RNA", at positions 338 to 795 of the family's 1533-position model. The record is from RNAcentral.